This 430-nucleotide ribosomal RNA is filed under the name Theileria equi. RNAcentral's name for it is "SSU rRNA". It matches the Rfam family "Eukaryotic small subunit ribosomal RNA", at positions 558 to 1021 of the family's 1831-position model. The record is from RNAcentral. Lineage: Eukaryota; Apicomplexa; Aconoidasida; Piroplasmida; Theileriidae.
AGUCUGGUGCCAGCAGCCGCGGUAAUUCCAGCUCCAAUAGCGUAUAUUAAACUUGUUGCAGUUAAAAAGCUCGUAGUUGAAUUUCUGCUGUAUCGUUUUCCUCUGCUUGACAGUUGGAUUUCGUUAUGGCUUAGUUGGGUUACAGUUUCUGUUACCUGACGUUUACUUUGAGAAAAUUAGAGUGCUUCAAGCAGGCUUUUGCCUUGAAUACUUUAGCAUGGAAUAAUGGAGUAGGACUUUGGUUCUAUUUUGUUGGUUUUAGGAGCCAGAGUAAUGGUUAAUAGGAACAGUUGGGGGCAUUCGUAUUUGACUGUCAGAGGUGAAAUUCUUAGAUUUGUCAAAGACGAACUACUGCGAAAGCAUUUGCCAAGGAUGUUUUCAUUAAUCAAGAACGAAAGUUAGGGGAUCGAAGACGAUCAGAUACCGUCGU